UGUGCUGAGCUGGGUGGAAGUGGGGAGGAGGAAGCAAGGACAGUGGAGCGGCGCCGCUGAUGGCGCCCCUCGGGGAGAGCGGGCACGGAUGCGGGGACAGGGACGCCGCCGCGCGGGCAAGGCCCUCGCGGGGAUGAAGGGGAAGCGUUCUCAGACCGCCUGGAGAAAAACGGGAACUGUUACUGCGCUGGGGCCUGGACGUGCCCCGCCGCCGCAGUUUCUGGUGGCAAAACACAGAAAACAAAGGAAUGAUUAAAUGAACUGCGGUGCCUUCGCGCCCUGUAUUAAUGUUCAGCCAUUAGAAGAGUGAAUCCCAGCUGGGACUUGGGGUUUCCACGAUGCGCUAGAAAAGCAAGACAAAGAGGCGCCUACUAGAUGAUGCCAUUUUGGAAAACAAAAGCAAACCCCGUGUGCGUGAGUGUGAGUGCGCGCGGGCGCGCGCGCGCCACACACAGAUGUGACGUGGGCACGGAGAAAUCACGGAAGCUCUGCUACAAAGCGGCGAGGACGAGGCCACUGGGGCGCCGCAGAGGCCCUUCCUGCGGCCGCGCUGUCCUGGGGGAGCGCCCCCGGCGUGGGGUCUCUGCGCCCUUUGUUAGUGAGGAGGGUGAGACCCGGCCGGGCGUGGGAGGCGGGGACCCGGCGGGGGCCCUCGCUCCUGCUUCCUGCCGCCGCCGCCCCAGCCAGAGACGCCUCGCCGGGAGGGAGCGCCGGGACCCCGCGGGCAUAGGACCCGGGUCGUCUGUCCCCUCGCUCCCGGUCGCCCACGUGGCCGCCCACUCCCCAUUUCUCGCGCAGCCAUUUGCUUCCCACCCCUUGUUUUUCUCUUUUCUUUUCCCCUCCCCUCAGCCUCCGGUAACCUCUGAUCUACUUUCUGUCUGUGAAUUUGCUUAUUCCAGAUAUUUUGUGUAAGCGGAAUCCUGUAAUCGUCCUUUUGUGUCAGGCUUAUUUUGCUUAGCAUAAUGUUUUCAAGGUUCAUCCAUGUUGUAGCACGUUUGAGAACUUCCUCCCUUUUUUGUAUUGUGAUAAAAUGUACAUAAAAUUUAUCGUUUUAACCAA
Microcebus murinus (gray mouse lemur) is the source of this 1059-nucleotide non-coding RNA. The record is from RefSeq and is a predicted model, not a curated record. Lineage: Eukaryota; Metazoa; Chordata; Mammalia; Primates; Cheirogaleidae.